Chlorocebus sabaeus (green monkey) is the source of this 105-nucleotide unclassified non-coding RNA. It matches the Rfam family "Y RNA". Rfam says of the family: Y RNAs are components of the Ro ribonucleoprotein particle (Ro RNP), in association with Ro60 and La proteins. The record is from Ensembl. NCBI's taxonomy places the organism in Eukaryota, Metazoa, Chordata, Mammalia, Primates, Cercopithecidae.
GGCUAGUCCGAAGAUAGUUACCUCGAUUCAUUUUUCACAAUUACAGAUCAAGCUCCUUGUUCUGCUCUUCUUCUCCUUCUCACUACUGUACUUGACUAGUCUUUA